Molecule: ribosomal RNA, 64 nt
Filed under: Flavobacteriaceae bacterium
Lineage: Bacteria; Pseudomonadati; Bacteroidota; Flavobacteriia; Flavobacteriales; Flavobacteriaceae
Description: partial 23S ribosomal RNA
Source: RNAcentral
GGUCACAGGUGUAAAGGCAGUAAUGUCAUAGCCGAGUGAUACUAAUUACCCGUAGGCCUAUCGU